UGGGGAAUAUUGCACAAUGGGCGAAAGCCUGAUGCAGCAACGCCGCGUGAGCGAAGAAGGUCUUCGGAUCGUAAAGCUCUGUCCUUGGGGAAGAUAAUGACGGUACCCUUGGAGGAAGCCCCGGCUAACUACGUGCCAGCAGCCGCGGUAAUACGUAGGUGGCAAGCGUUGUCCGGAAUGACUGGGCGUAAAGGGUACGUAGGUGGCUAUUCAAGUUAAUAGUGAAAUCCCGGGGCUCAACCCCGGUGCUACUGUUAAGACUGUUUAGCUUGAGUGCAGGAGGGGUAAGUAGAAUUCCUAGUGUAGCGGUGGAAUGCGUAAGAUAUUAGGAAGAAUACCGGUGGCGAAGGCGACUUACUGGACUGUAACUGACACUGAAGUACGAAAGCGUGGGGAGCAAACAGGAUUAGAUACCCUGGUAGU
Molecule: ribosomal RNA, 423 nt
Filed under: uncultured Anaerovorax sp.
Lineage: Bacteria; Bacillati; Bacillota; Clostridia; Peptostreptococcales; Anaerovoracaceae
Description: bacterial SSU rRNA
Rfam family: Bacterial small subunit ribosomal RNA
Source: RNAcentral